AGAGGAUUGUGUGAGCGGCUUAAACAAACUGUUUGCUAAACAGUCGACCCUUAACGGGGUCCACAGGUUCGAAUCCUGUAUCCUCUGCCA
RNAcentral lists this transfer RNA (90 nucleotides) under compost metagenome. Its description in RNAcentral is "tRNA-Ser". It matches the Rfam family "tRNA". Rfam says of the family: Transfer RNA (tRNA) molecules are approximately 80 nucleotides in length. Their secondary structure includes four short double-helical elements and three loops (D, anti-codon, and T loops). The record is from RNAcentral.